This is a long non-coding RNA of Pyrgilauda ruficollis (rufous-necked snowfinch), 1893 nucleotides long. RefSeq lists it as uncharacterized. The record is from RefSeq and is a predicted model, not a curated record. NCBI's taxonomy places the organism in Eukaryota, Metazoa, Chordata, Aves, Passeriformes, Passeridae. The transcript is spliced from 4 exons.
CUCAGACUCCCGGGGUCUCUUUCUGUACCCGCCCAGCUGGGUCAGACCAAUGGGCCCUCCAAGUGGAGGAUUUAUCUCUUAUCCCCCUCCUAGUGGAUUUAUCUCUUGCUCCCAUUGAAAUUGAAGUCCUGUUUCAAAAAUGCAAUUGAUUUCUCAAGAAAAACGUGCCACAAAGCCAUUUUUUUUGUCCUUUGUUUCUCAAAUUUCCAUUCCUGUUUAUUUCUUUUGCUGCAACAAUAAUGAAUGUCACAUAAAUAACAAUGGGAAAGGGGAAUAAAUGGAAUGUGACUGAAAAUGCUUAGUUUUGAUAUUUGGGCAGGAGCUGGUCAGUGUUCAAAAUGUUCAGGCCACAGCAAUAUGAGCACAGCUACAGGAAAAUCCAGGAACUGCUGAGUUCAGUCCAGGGACACCUUCCACUAUUCCAGGGUGCCCCAAGCCCCAUCCAGCCUGGCCUUGGACACUUCCAGGGAUGGAGCAGCCACGGUUUCUCUGGGUUUGUGGGCACAGGAGGAAAGUUCCAGCAGGAGCUGAGGAUUCCCUUUGCUCUGUCCAGCCCCAGCAGGGCUGUGGGAGCAGAGGAUGUGGGAGCAGGAGCUUUGCCCACUGCCUCGGGGGAGUCUGUGCUGUCCCAGCCCCCAGAGCAAACGUUUGUGGUUUAACAUCCCGUUCCAAGGAGAUGCCCGGCCGGGAACGGGAAUGGGCCGCGGAGCAGGGACGGUGCCGGGCAGAGGGGUGACAUCCAGAGGGUGCCACCAGUCCGUCCCUGCUGCCCGGGCUGGGGAUGAGCAGGCUGGUGACUGUCCCUGUGCUUGCUCUGCAGGAUGAGGAAGGCAGCCCUGCCGAGGAGGAAGAUGAGGAGGUGUGGGAGGAUGGAGAGAGCGGCCACCAAAGGCUGGGGACGGCUCAAGUCCAGAGAAAAGCUGCCAAGGAAUAAAGCAAGAGCUUUCCCCAGUGAAAACCUGCCCAGUCCCAUGCUGGGUUUCCACACAGACAAGGUUCAAUCCCUGCUGGAAUCCCAGUCACAGCCUCCAGAUCAAUGUGCAGUUUAAGGUCUCACAGCCUGACCAGGACAAUCUCUUGCCUCUGGACAUGGAAAAUCAAUUUUUCGUUGUUACAGCACCAGCUCCAGGAUCCUCUGAGGCUGAAACAAAGACAAGGAACCUUCUGAGAUGGAAAGAUCCAGAGCAACUUGUUGUGGGAAAAGAAAAUGAAAGAUGGAUGUGACAUGAAUUGGCUCCAGCAGGGCCCAAGAUCACUCUGGGGUCUGUGGCAGGGACAGCUCCCAGAGCCAGACAGGGAAGGGGACCUUCACCCACACUCCCAAAAAGCUGAGAAGGAAAAACACCUGCCUGCAGCUGGCUGCAGCUCCUGGAUUUCUGGGGUUUCUGGCACACUCAGGGACAUGGGGUAAUGCCAAAAUCAUUCAAACCUUGGGAAUAAUGGAAUUAAUACCACCCCUUGAGCUCCUGCCCAUCAGCCACUGGCUGCAGAUGGCUUGGAAGUGAUGGAGGCAUUCAGGGAAUGCUGAUUGUUUUUCCCUUGCUUUGGCAGUCUGGUCAGCAAAAAUGCUAAUUGAGCUCUUCCAGCAGGGAAGCAUUUAAGCAAGAGGUGCUGAAAGGAAUUGGAGUUUCUGAUUUUGAGUCUCCGACUUCAAAUCCCGCUGGAUUGUCACCAGUCCAACUUGCAUGGACUGGUCACCGUGGCCAGGAGUGUCCAGUCCUGCUGGAAUGCACUGGAGCAGGAUGUCAUUUUCAUUUAGUGCUGGUAAAGACCCUCUGGGUGACCCCCAGGGACUGGAAGGACCAGACUGGGCUCCCAGGGCACUAAUUCCAGGGGUUCUGUUUUUGGGAAUAGCACAGGAGCCGUUCCCUUGCCCAGAGGAGCAGCCAGUGC